CCGAGAUCUACACGUAAGGAGUCGUCGGCAGCGUCAGAUGUGUAUAAGAGACAGAAGCAUGACCGUAAGGACAUGUGGACAGUAUGGGAGUGAGAAUGUUGGCAUGAGUAGCGAGAUGUGGGUGAGAAUCCCACAGGCCGUAAACCCAAGGUUUCCAGGGGAAGGUUCGUCCGCCCUGGGUUAGUCGGGACCUAAGCUGAGGCCGAAAGGCGUAGGUGAUGGACAACAGGUUGAUAUUCCUGUACUACCGAUAACCGUUUGAGAGAAGGGAUGACACAGUAGGAUAAGCUAAGCACACUGUUGGUUAUGUGUGCCCAAGCAUUGAGGCAGUCAAAGUAGGCAAAUCCGCUUUGAUAAUGCUGGGAUGUGAUGGGGAGCGAAAUUUAGUAGCGAAGUAGCUGAUUUCACACUGUCAAGAAAAGUCUCUAUCGAGGUUAAAGGUACCCGUACCGCAAACCGACACAGGUGGGUGAGGAGAGUAUCCUAAGGCCAGCGAGAGAACUGUUGUUAAGGAACUCGGCAAAAUGACCCCGUAACUUAGGGAUAAGGGGUGCCACCAUCAGGUGGCCGCAGAGAAUAGGCCCAAGCGACUGUUUACCAAAAACAUAGGUUUCUGCUAAGUCGCAAGACGAUGUAUAGGAGCUGACGCCUGCCCGGUGCUGGAAGGUUAAGGGGAUCUGUUAGAGCAAUCGAAGCAGUGAACUUAAGCCCCAGUAAACGGCGGCCGUAACUAUAACGGUCCUAAGGUAGCGAAAUUCCUUGUCGGGUAAGUUCCGACCCGCACGAAAGGCGUAACGAUUUGGGCACUGUCUCAACAACAGACUCGGUGAAAUUGUAAUUCCGGUGAAGAUGCCGGAUACCUGCGACAGGACGGAAAGACCCCAUGGAGCUUUACUGUAGCUUGACAUUGGGUCUUGGUACUACAUGUACAGGAUAGGUGGGAGGCUUUGAAACCAGGACGCCAGUUUUGGCGGAGCCAUCCUUGGGAUACCACCCUUGUAGUACUGGGACUCUAACCAUAGGCCAUGAAUCUGGUCUUGGGACACUGUCAGGUGGGCAGUUUGACUGGGGCGGUCGCCUCCCAAAAGGUAACGGAGGCGCUCAAAGGUUCUCUCAGUACGGUCGGAAAUCGUACGUAGAGUGUAAAGGCAAAAGAGAGCUUGAUUGCAAGACAUACAGGUCGAGCAAGGAUGAAAAUCGGACUUAGUGAUCCGGUGGUUCUGCGUGGAAGGGCCAUCGCUCAACGGAUAAAAGCUACCCUGGGGAUAACAGGCUUAUCUCCCCCAAGAGUCCACAUCGACGGGGAGGUUUGGCACCUCGAUGUCGGCUCAUCACAUCCUGGGGCUGUAGUAGGUCCCAAGGGUUGGGCUGUUCGCCCAUUAAAGUGGUACGCGAGCUGGGUUCAGAACGUCGUGAGACAGUUCGGUCCCUAUCCGUCGCAGGCGUAGGAAAUUUGAGAAGACCUGUCCUUAGUACGAGAGGACCGGGAUGGACGUACCUCUGGUGUACCAGUUG
Molecule: ribosomal RNA, 1515 nt
Filed under: Clostridioides difficile
Lineage: Bacteria; Bacillati; Bacillota; Clostridia; Peptostreptococcales; Peptostreptococcaceae
Description: bacterial LSU rRNA
Rfam family: Bacterial large subunit ribosomal RNA
Source: RNAcentral